GAGAGGAGAGACUUACCUUCCAACUCUGUAUCCCCAGUGUCACAAAGCCUAACAUACGGUUGGUGCUCAGUCGAUCUUUAUUCAGUGAGUGAAUGAAUAUACUUGUGGAUGACUGUCAAGUGAAGGCUGCUGCAUGAUGUAAAUCCACAGAUUCACCGUCUGGAACAGUCAUAUCUCAUCCCCGCCCCCCUCAACUGAACCUAUUUUCUCCAUUGUGUCCUAACAAAAUAGUCAUCACAUAAUACCCUGUG
Ailuropoda melanoleuca (giant panda) is the source of this 251-nucleotide long non-coding RNA. RefSeq lists it as uncharacterized. Lineage: Eukaryota; Metazoa; Chordata; Mammalia; Carnivora; Ursidae. The record is from RefSeq and is a predicted model, not a curated record. The transcript is spliced from 3 exons.